RNAcentral lists this long non-coding RNA (553 nucleotides) under Vigna radiata. RNAcentral's name for it is "long non-coding RNA (VRAD_LNC017904)". The record is from RNAcentral. Lineage: Eukaryota; Viridiplantae; Streptophyta; Magnoliopsida; Fabales; Fabaceae.
GCAUGGCAUAAUAUAACUACCCAAAUCAUAAAGGAUAAAUAGCAUCCUAAACGCACUGUUGGGAUAUCUAUAAUAUCAAUAUUUUAACUUUGAAUAUUUUAGAGUAUAUUGAAGAUUUUCUCUUAAAAAUAGUUCUAUAAUAUUUGAUGAUCUGUUUCUUUAUUUCAUUGCGAUUGUAGCAUGUAGCUGUGAACAUUUCAAAUUUUAUAAGAACAUUAUCAUAUCAUUAUACAACACCACACACAAGAAAAUAUUAUUACAAGGGUGUAUACUCUACUUUCUUCAUACAAGCUCUUACAAACACCUCUACGUCAAUCUAAAAGAACCAUUCCAAACAUCAUUUUAAAACUCAUAACUAGUCUCUUCAUUGGAAUUUAAAGCAUUGAAAAUAAAAAAGAAAAAAAAAAUCCGCUGUAAGUUUACAUCAAAUUCCCUACUUCUGUUACCUGGUGUGAUAGGAGACUGAGAGUUAGUUAAUCUAACUAUCUUGAUAGUUAGAAAGUGCGCUGGGUUUGAUUGUAUAAAUAGAUAGGUGUUAAUUGCUAAGACUUGC